ACAGCUUGCUGGAAAACCAAGAGUUGGGCAACAGCUUGCUGGGAAACAGAGUGGGUAGCACGAACAUGCGUGAAUCAUUGAAAUUGGUGGUUUGUGUCAAACUGUAUAAAGGACAGAAACAGGCAAAAGAUCGGGGCUACUCCUCGGCAGAUCUCGGAGGGCGUCGGACGGGCAAUAGGUCUCCAGACUACGCAGCCUCAACCAAGAAAAAGAAUUGGGAUUUGGACAAUUGGAACAGCAAAAGAGGCCGUGUUGUCGCAGAUUCUUCUUCUCUUCUCUCCGUAAGGAGCUCCAGCUGAAGGAGACAACAGAAUUUGUUAUGUCUUUGCAUUUCCCACAAGGAGGGAUCGCUGAUUCAUCUCUGAAAUCCAAACAACAAGGAAGCAAUUUCAAACAGCAG
Long non-coding RNA from Etheostoma spectabile (orangethroat darter), 400 nucleotides. RefSeq lists it as uncharacterized. The transcript has 3 exons. The record is from RefSeq and is a predicted model, not a curated record. Lineage: Eukaryota; Metazoa; Chordata; Actinopteri; Perciformes; Percidae.